This 649-nucleotide long non-coding RNA is filed under the name Homo sapiens (human). RNAcentral describes it as "HSALNT0286901". The record is from RNAcentral. Lineage: Eukaryota; Metazoa; Chordata; Mammalia; Primates; Hominidae.
AAUUUCAGAAAUGACCUUGUUUGUGGAUGUAAUCUAUAUUACAUUAAUAAAUUAUUCUUUAUUAAUACCUUUACAAAAAAAGUUGAUUAAUACAUCUCUAUGAUAUAAUCAUGCAGUUUGACCACAAAAACCAAAUCCUAUCUAGCUAAGCACUUUGUACCAAAACCAAAAGAUAACAGCAAUAAGCAGCAACAUCUAUGACAUUCUAAGCACUGGGCUAAGCCCUUCAUUUCACUACAUCUUCAAAGAACUCUAAAAGAUAGGUGCUAAUAUUACUCUCAUGUUACAGGUGAGAAGACAAGAAAAUGACCUCAAAUCAUUGAACUAUGGAAUACCAACUUCAUGUACACUUGGCUUAUUCAGCACCCAUAAAAUUCAAUGGACCACCAUCCGGACAAAAGGAUAAAAACAGAACACAUCAAGAUAAUGAAUUUUCUUCAAACUACUGAGGUACAAUGAAAAAUGGAAAUAUUAUCUCAGAAAUUACAACAGAGGGAUGAAGAUAUAGCAUAUGCUGUACCUAAAAGAUACAUCAAAUGGGACAUUGGGAAUAUGGAUUGAUGAAAUUUAAUUUGCGAUUGUCCUAUAAUGCCUUUUCAUUACAGUACCACACAAAUUGAGGCAAUAAAUGUAUAUUUGAUCAAAAAAG